Molecule: long non-coding RNA, 1469 nt
Filed under: Manacus vitellinus (golden-collared manakin)
Lineage: Eukaryota; Metazoa; Chordata; Aves; Passeriformes; Pipridae
Description: lncRNA (ENSMVIG00005005571.1)
Source: RNAcentral
GAGACCUCCCAGGGAGGAGGACAGGGAGGGGGAAGGCACCAGUAGGGAGGGGGUGACACUGUCCCCGCUGUCCCCACAGCUCCGAGAGCACCCGCUCGUACCGGCGCAUCGGCGGAGGGGUGGGCAAGGCAGGGCCGGCCGUGUCCCCCCAGAGCCCUGCUGGCCCCGAGGACCCCGCUCUCAGCAAGGUGCCCCCUGUGCCCAUGCCCAGGAGAUUUGCUCCGGUAGGUGCCAUGACUUGGGGGGGUGUCACCCUCUGCAUCCCCGAGCAUCCCUGCUCUCCUUAUCCUGGGGCUGCAGAGAGGGAAGGAUCAGGGGUGUCACAUCCCUGCACCCCUCUUGGGAGCGACUUUGGGGGGUCUUUAACCCACUUUCCACCCCGUUUUAGGCCAAGGGGAGGCAGAAGCGGGUGAAGGCGGUGGCUGACUGCAAGGGGGACAAGGCCCGGGAGCUGACCUUCUCCAAGGGGGAGGUGAUCGUGGUGACACGGGAGGAAGAUGAGCAGAGCUGGGUCGGCUUCAUCGAGGGUGACGGCUCCCGCACCGGAGUCUUCCCCGCCAGCUUCGUCCACCUCUUGCAAGACUGACCGGGCAAGGACCAGAGGCAGCUCCCUGCUGGGGGCUCAGCAGAGCCAGGACCACGAGGGACACAUGCCCAGGACCCUGGCAUGGGACCACUGCCCUCCAAGGGGGCUCAGAGACCACCCACUGGGAAACCCGUCCAUGGAGGGCAGCGCUGGGGAGCUGAGGGGCAGAGAAUGGACACGCUCGCUGCAUUGGUGGGCUGAGGUUUCUGUGCCAGCCCCUGCUCCUGCUGCUCUCUCAUCCUUCCCAGGGGCUCUGCUCAUCCCUAGGGAUUUCUUCUCCCUUCCUCUGCAAGGACUUGGGGAUGGGGGAGCUCCACCUUCUGCCAAGUAGUCAUGGAGCCCCCUCCCCAGCCGGGGGGGAGCAGGGCUGGGGGGCAGCCGUUUCCCCCCAGCCUCCUUCUGUACCCCAACUGUGAAACCUUUGGGAUGGGCAAGAAGUAGGAGAGGGCUCUUGCCCUUGCCUGGCUGGGCUGGAGGGUCUCCACCCCAGACUUGGAGCUGCCUGGGCUGGUGGGGCUUGGGGAUGCUCCAAAGCUUCCCCAAAACUCUAGUGAAAUGCCAUUCCCUGAUUUUGGGGGGGUAGGAGUUGAGGUGGCACCACAGAGCCCCUGCCCCGUGUCCCUCCCCUGGGGUGGGUGCUGGAUCACCGCCCCAGCCUUGGGGGCCUCUCCAAGGGAGUUUUUGCAUUAUUUUUCUGGGACCAACAUCCCCUUGUGCCAGUGUCCCUUGGGACCCACCUGCCUCUGUACCCCCCCCAAUUUACCCUCUCCCCCUUCUCAUUCCUGUGUCAAAUUUUUCAUCUCAAAAAACAGUCUUUUUUUUUUAAUGUUUUCUGUCUCUGAUUUCUAAUAAACCAUCGUUUUUGUAAGGACCUGUGCUUGGG